CUGAUACUUCCUCCGUCCGAAAAUACUUUCAUCAAAAUGGAUAAAAAGAUAUGUAUCUAAAACCAAUAUAUAUCUAGAUACAUCACAUUUUAUUUAUUUUGAUAAUAAGUAUUUCCGGACGGAGGGAGUAGUAG
This is a non-coding RNA of Triticum aestivum (bread wheat), 134 nucleotides long. Lineage: Eukaryota; Viridiplantae; Streptophyta; Magnoliopsida; Poales; Poaceae. The record is from Rfam.